UCGGUUUUAAUUGCAUGGGAUAAACCCGAUUAAAACUACUGGAUCUUUUUCCUUCUUCUAAAACGUUUGGAAUAAUUGGGCUAUUGGCUUUAGUGUUUGUAAUCGACAGGCCCAUUGAAUAUAUAUGUUUGUAAUCGAAAUGGCCCAUUUCUGGAAAGCAUUAGUUUAAAGGAUUUGAUAUUUUCUAAAUCUUGCAAAACCGAAAAUAUGUCUUUUUGUUGAACACAUAUUAAAAACGAAAAAUAAUAAAGGCUUUAUGGCAAUUAAAACUUAUAUAUACAUAUAGAUUGUAUGUGUAAUGUGUUUAAAAUUAUAAAGGUUUUGAUCAGCAGCCAUUAUGCCUAACUGAUAAAUUUAAAACUAACUAAAAUUUUAGGAUAUUAUAAAUAUUUAAACAUAUAUAAAAUUUAACGUAUCAUAUAACGGGGUUAUAUGGUAGGACGGAUUAUUAGUAUAUAUAUAAAAUAACAUAGAGUUAUUGUUAACUCGUCAUUUUUAUUAUUUUAUUAACACCACCAAUAUUUACAGUAAAAAUAAUUAAAGUAUUAUAAUUUAAAGCUUGGCAGUUACUAAAUAAAUAUUGUCUCGUGGUGUACCACGGGGUAAAUGAUGUAUAGCAUUAAUACCAAAUCUUAUUAAGCAAUAUAAAUGAUAAAACAAAAAUAUCUUUUUUGCAGCUCUAGACAAAAUCUUAUAGUUGGACUAUAUAAAUACAUUUGUAUUCUAUUCAAGUAUUUAUUUUAGCAAAUAUGAGCUUAAUUAUAGUGAAUUUUAAAAAAUUGCAUACUUAUAGUUUUUUUCACGACAUAUAUUCAAUAACAAAUAUUAUUAGUUAUUAAAAAUACACCAACAUAUAUAAAUAGUAACAUCUAUAUUAAAAUGGUGAAGAAUUUUGGAAAAUUCAUUGAAAUAACAAUUAACAGCUACAAUGGUACUGAUAUUCUUUUCUCAAUGUAAAUUAUUAUCUCAUAAAUAUAUAUAUAAAUUUAAAUGAUUAUCAUGUUUACAAUAAAUUAAUAAAAUUAUCACAUAUCGAAUAAAAUUGACACGAUAUAAUAUAAAUUUUAAACCAUUUUGAGGUGUACAAACAAUAUUAAUUCUACUACUCAUUGUUAAAGAAUAACAUUGUAGAUGUGCGAAACAAACAAAACAAACAUUGUGUUGUUACAUAGUAAUAUACAUUUCAUAAUCCAACAAAACACUAAAAUAUGACAGUUCUCGAAACAAAAUAUAUGAAACUAUGGACCCGUGGUGUACCACGGGGUAAAA
RNAcentral lists this long non-coding RNA (1269 nucleotides) under Capsella grandiflora. Its description in RNAcentral is "long non-coding RNA (CGRA_LNC000925)". The record is from RNAcentral. Lineage: Eukaryota; Viridiplantae; Streptophyta; Magnoliopsida; Brassicales; Brassicaceae.